UUGCUAAAAAAGUAUUUAUUGUGUAUUUCUUUCUAAGCAGACUACACCCUGUAAUGCAGAAUCAACCUGAGUCUCUCAUUCCUGGAGCGGUUUAUUAACAGUCAAGAUCCAGGACCAGAAUCAGAGUGAACAGGAACUCUCCUGCAGUCCUCCUGAACCUCCAUUGGUGACGUCUGUGGGGUGAUGUAACUGAGAUCCUGGUGUUUCUCUUCUGGUUGGCGAGCGGAGUAUCCUACAGGAUGAUCUCACGAGUGUUUGGAUCUCUCGUUCCACUGUCCACUGCAUCAUCCACAGUCACUGAGGAGGUGGUGGCCAUUUGCCAUAAGGACCUUCACCUUCCAAAAACCCCUGAGGACCUGGAGGUGGAAUCCCGUGGGUUUGCAGGGCUUGCACAGCACAGAAUUUUUCCUCAAAGCUGCAGGUGCCAUCGAUGGAUGCCACAUCAGGAUCAAACCUCCUGGUGACCCUGGCAUCAUUCCAAAAGCGCCCUCGAUUAUAGAGCGUGCUUUGGAAUGAUGAAGACAAGAUUCAGAGGCAUCUUCCUGCAAGUGCUGGAGGUUGUCUCAGCUUGGGCCAUCCUCCACAAUAUCUGCACCUGUGCUGACGACACAGAGGCCCCAGAGGAUGAUGUGGAGGUGAUGAUGAGGAGGAAGCUGGUUUGAAGGUCACCAGUGGUGCUCUCUGGCAGGACCAACUACCUGCUGAGGUUUCUGCUCUGCGGGAGGUACCACCUGACCUUGAUUACUUUUAACAGCAUCCGUCCACAGCCAAUCCUGUAAACCCUGAAGAUGGACGAUGCAGUCUACAGUGAAGAUGGAUCCUGAAACUCUGCAGACCAUCCUGCAAGAUGUUCCAAUCACCACCCAGAAAGUUCCAUCCCCGCGUCUCAGUUGAAGCAUCUCAUCCAUGUCGACCAUCUUUGUAAAUAGUGUUACAAUGAAUGACGAUUACUGUGUUGGAUUUAUACCUUUAUUUAUAUUAAAAAAGCAAACAUUUUAAU
This is a long non-coding RNA of Oryzias melastigma (Indian medaka), 1000 nucleotides long. RefSeq lists it as uncharacterized. The record is from RefSeq and is a predicted model, not a curated record. The transcript is spliced from 3 exons. Lineage: Eukaryota; Metazoa; Chordata; Actinopteri; Beloniformes; Adrianichthyidae.